Molecule: regulatory RNA element, 112 nt
Organism: Peptostreptococcaceae bacterium oral taxon 113
Lineage: Bacteria; Bacillati; Bacillota; Clostridia; Peptostreptococcales; Peptostreptococcaceae
Rfam family: TPP riboswitch aptamer (THI element)
About the family: Vitamin B(1) in its active form thiamin pyrophosphate (TPP) is an essential coenzyme that is synthesised by coupling of pyrimidine and thiazole moieties in bacteria. The previously detected thiamin-regulatory element, thi box was extended, resulting in a new, highly conserved RNA secondary structure, the THI element, which is widely distributed in eubacteria and also occurs in some archaea.
Source: Rfam
AACUUGACAUAGGGGAGCUCGCCAAUACGCGGGCUGAGAAUAAACCGUAGGGUUUUAAACCCAUUAACCUGAUUUGGAUAAUGCCAACGUAGGGAAAGAUAGCGCAAGGACA